This 66-nucleotide transfer RNA is filed under the name Marmota monax (woodchuck). Its description in RNAcentral is "tRNA.Val". The record is from RNAcentral. Lineage: Eukaryota; Metazoa; Chordata; Mammalia; Rodentia; Sciuridae.
GGUUGUCGCUCAGCGGUAGAGCGCUCGCCUCACAUGUGUGAAACCCGGGUUCGAUCCUCAGCACCA